This 249-nucleotide ribosomal RNA is filed under the name uncultured prokaryote. RNAcentral's name for it is "partial 16S ribosomal RNA". It matches the Rfam family "Bacterial small subunit ribosomal RNA", at positions 524 to 772 of the family's 1533-position model. The record is from RNAcentral.
UACGGAGGAUGCAAGCGUUAUCCGGAUUUAUUGGGUUUAAAGGGUGCGCAGGUUGUUUGAUAAGUCAGUGGUGAAAGUCUGUCGCUUAACGGUAGGAUUGCCAUUGAUACUGUUAGACUUGAAUAUGGAUGAGGUAGGCGGAAUGUGUAGUGUAGCGGUGAAAUGCAUAGAUAUUACACAGAACACCGAUUGCGAAGGCAGCUUACUAAUCCAUCAUUGACGCUGAGGCACGAAAGCGUGGGGAUCAAG